This 74-nucleotide microRNA precursor is filed under the name Podarcis lilfordi (Lilford's wall lizard). Lineage: Eukaryota; Metazoa; Chordata; Lepidosauria; Squamata; Lacertidae. The record is from RNAcentral.
GUGUGUGUGUGUGUGUGUGUGUGUGUGUGUGUAUACAAACACACAAACACACACACACACACACACACACACAC